RNAcentral lists this ribosomal RNA (236 nucleotides) under uncultured bacterium. RNAcentral describes it as "partial 16S ribosomal RNA". It matches the Rfam family "Bacterial small subunit ribosomal RNA", at positions 118 to 351 of the family's 1533-position model. The record is from RNAcentral.
UGAGUAACCUGCCCUUAACUCUGGGAUAAGCCUGGGAAACUAGGUCUAAUACCGGAUAUGACUCCUCAUCGCAUGGGUGGGGGGGUGGAAAGCUUUAUUGUGGUUUUGGAUGGACUCGCGGCCUAUCAGCUUGUUGGUGAGGUAAUGGCUCACCAAGGCGACGACGGGUAGCCGGCCUGAGAGGGUGACCGGCCACACUGGGACUGAGACACGGCCCAGACUCCUACGGGAGGCAG